UGGGGAAUUUUGGACAAUGGGGGCAACCCUGAUCCAGCCAUGCCGCGUGCGGGAAGAAGGCCUUCGGGUUGUAAACCGCUUUUAGUCGGGAAGAAAAGGUUACUCCGAAUAAGGGUGACUCUUGACGGUACCGGCGGAAUAAGCACCGGCUAACUACGUGCCAGCAGCCGCGGUAAUACGUAGGGUGCGAGCGUUAAUCGGAAUUACUGGGCGUAAAGCGUGCGCAGGCGGUUCGUUAAGUUCGAUGUGAAAGCCCCGGGCUCAACCUGGGAAUGGCAUUGAAAACUGGCGGGCUUGAGUCUGGCAGAGGGGGGUGGAAUUCCGCGUGUAGCAGUGAAAUGCGUAGAGAUGCGGAGGAACACCGAUGGCGAAGGCAGCCCCCUGGGCCAAGACUGACGCUCAGGCACGAAAGCGUGGGGAGCAAACAGG
RNAcentral lists this ribosomal RNA (429 nucleotides) under uncultured beta proteobacterium. Its description in RNAcentral is "bacterial SSU rRNA". It matches the Rfam family "Bacterial small subunit ribosomal RNA", at positions 355 to 776 of the family's 1533-position model. Lineage: Bacteria; Pseudomonadati; Pseudomonadota; Betaproteobacteria. The record is from RNAcentral.